UUUUAGCGAUAGCGUAACAGCUCAGUGGUCUGAGUUCCCUGAAAAGGGAAUAUUGCCUGGUGAGGGCGCCAUGAAUGUAACGGGUCUAUAGUAGUUGUCUCUCUGUUCCAUUAGGAUAUAGAGGGGGUGGCAGUUGAUACAGAUGCAGAGCUUCUUUACUGCCUCACCGAAACCCUGUCCUAAAUGUAACAUUUUAGGGGUAGCAGAAUACCCAGCAAAUGGAAUGAAGCUUACUCAUAGAGUUGGUGGACAUAGCUGGGCUAAGAAUGCUGACAUGAGUAGCCUAAAAGGAGGGUAAUUUCCUCUUCGCCGAAAGCAGAAGGGUUUCAUUAGUAAGGUCUAUACCUACAUGAUUAAAGUAACGGCCUCUAAGUUUCAGGGUAACAUAUUAGUUUCGAUGAGUAACUCUUCUAUAGGGCAGUAACCUUUCUUAUAAGUUUACCUAUUAAUUAGAGGUAUAUUUCAAAGAGUAAGGUUCGGGAAAGAGCCCUAUGGAAACUUGCCUGAAAUCAGGUAGGUUAAGUCAACCGUACCCUAAACCGACACAGGUCUGCAAGUAGAGCAUACUAAGGCGUAGAGACAAUCGUCUUGAAGGAACUCGGCAAAAUGACCCCGUAACUUUGGAAGAAGGGGUGUCACUUAUUAGUGGCGGCACAAAACA
RNAcentral lists this ribosomal RNA (661 nucleotides) under Rhizophagus aggregatus. RNAcentral's name for it is "Glomus aggregatum partial large subunit ribosomal RNA". It matches the Rfam family "Bacterial large subunit ribosomal RNA", at positions 1121 to 1788 of the family's 2925-position model. The record is from RNAcentral. Lineage: Eukaryota; Fungi; Glomeromycota; Glomeromycetes; Glomerales; Glomeraceae.